RNAcentral lists this ribosomal RNA (425 nucleotides) under uncultured Glomeromycotina. RNAcentral's name for it is "SSU rRNA". It matches the Rfam family "Eukaryotic small subunit ribosomal RNA", at positions 670 to 1092 of the family's 1831-position model. The record is from RNAcentral. Lineage: Eukaryota; Fungi; Glomeromycota.
AUUGUCUGUACUGGUGAGAUGAGUCUCUACCUUCUGAGGAACUUUCAUGCCAUUUAUUUGGUGUGGUUGGAAAUCAGGACUGUUACUUUGAAAAAAUUAGAGUGUUUAAAGCAGGCUAACGUCUGAAUACAUUAGCAUGGAAUAAUGAAAUAGGACGGAUUGAUUCUAUUUCGUUGGUUUCUAGGGUCACCGUAAUGAUUAAUAGGGAUAGUUGGGGGCAUUAGUAUUCAAUUGUCAGAGGUGAAAUUCUUGGAUUUAUUGAAGACUAACUACUGCGAAAGCAUUUGCCAAGGAUGUUUUCAUUAAUCAAGAACGAAAGUUAGGGGAUCGAAGACGAUCAGAUACCGUCGUAGUCUUAACCAUAAACUAUGCCGACUAGGGAUCGGACGCAGUUAAUUUUAUAAUGACGUGUUCGGCACCUUACG